Molecule: non-coding RNA, 754 nt
Organism: Misgurnus anguillicaudatus (oriental weatherfish)
Lineage: Eukaryota; Metazoa; Chordata; Actinopteri; Cypriniformes; Cobitidae
Source: RefSeq, a predicted model, not a curated record
GCCAUUUCACCCUGAAGUGGAACACACAUGCCUGAAACACAAGCACAUACACAUGCACUCAAUUGAUCCUGACAAAGGCCUGGUUGAUAAAGGGAGGGGUAUAGAAGUGUCGCAUCCAAUGGGAUGCACCGAGAAUAAAACAAGUUGCCAUCAAUUCAAGUCGUAGACUUCAAAGUGGACACAUCCUUGGAGAAGAAGGUAGCAUGCAAUGGUGUAUGAGUUUGGUCCCUCAAACUCAGUCCUGAUACUGUCCUCCUGCGGACAGAGUCCACGAUUGAUCAGCCGGAUCAAUCGGCAUCGCCCUCGGCCGUUGUUGCCCGCUCUGACGCAAGCCAAAGGGGGUCGGCCAAGAGCACAUUGACUGCGUGAUCACUUAAAACACACACACAUAUACGAAGCAGCACUCAUUUGCAAAACAUGCACCCUCAGGCCUGCCAUUUGCACAGCAAAAGUGAGGCAGAGCCACAGGAAGAGUUAGAGACGGAUUUAAAGACUGAGCCAGAUGCAGCCACCCUCGCCAGGUGGGACUCAAGGAAUGGUGACACCUUUGGACAUACUUGCCGACUGAACUAAAGUCAUACAAAUUCUUAUUCGGAUCAUGGAUGGGCUUCAAAAUAUCAGUGUCCAGAUUGACCCGAGCUCACGGAUGAGCCUUGAGAUGUGAGGAUUAAUCACAGGAGCCUGCGUCACUACAAACAGUCCAUGGAGUUGUCUGGCACCAGUCCGAGUGGAGGUGCUUUUCCCGGAGUGCAGG